RNAcentral lists this ribosomal RNA (962 nucleotides) under Listeria monocytogenes. RNAcentral describes it as "partial 23S ribosomal RNA". It matches the Rfam family "Bacterial large subunit ribosomal RNA", at positions 390 to 1353 of the family's 2925-position model. Lineage: Bacteria; Bacillati; Bacillota; Bacilli; Caryophanales; Listeriaceae. The record is from RNAcentral.
UUCCCUCCAGAGUGGAUCCUGAGUACGGCGGAACACGUGAAAUUCCGUCGGAAUCCGGGAGGACCAUCUCCCAAGGCUAAAUACUCCCUAGUGACCGAUAGUGAACCAGUACCGUGAGGGAAAGGUGAAAAGCACCCCGGAAGGGGAGUGAAACAGUUCCUGAAACCGUGUGCCUACAAGUAGUUAGAGCCCGUUAAUGGGUGAUAGCGUGCCUUUUGUAGAAUGAACCGGCGAGUUACGAUUUGUUGCAAGGUUAAGCGGAAAAAGCGGAGCCGUAGCGAAAGCGAGUCUGAAUAGGGCGCAUAAGUAACAGGUCGUAGACCCGAAACCAGGUGAUCUACCCAUGUCCAGGAUGAAGGUAAGGUAAUACUUACUGGAGGUCCGAACCCACGCACGUUGAAAAGUGCGGGGAUGAGGUGUGGGUAGCGGAGAAAUUCCAAUCGAACUUGGAGAUAGCUGGUUCUCUCCGAAAUAGCUUUAGGGCUAGCCUCGAGGUAAAGAGUCAUGGAGGUAGAGCACUGUUUGGACUAGGGGCCCUUCUCGGGUUACCGAAUUCAGAUAAACUCCGAAUGCCAUGUACUUAUACUCGGGAGUCAGACUGCGAGUGAUAAGAUCCGUAGUCGAAAGGGAAACAGCCCAGACCACCAGUUAAGGUCCCCAAAUAUAUGUUAAGUGGAAAAGGAUGUGGGGUUGCUUAGACAACCAGGAUGUUGGCUUAGAAGCAGCCACCAUUGAAAGAGUGCGUAAUAGCUCACUGGUCGAGUGACCCCGCGCCGAAAAUGUACCGGGGCUAAACAUAUUACCGAAACUGUGGAUGAACCUCUUUAGAGGUUCGUGGUAGGAGAGCGUUCUAAGGGCGGUGAAGUCAGACCGGAAGGACUGGUGGAGCGCUUAGAAGUGAGAAUGCCGGUAUGAGUAGCGAAAGAAGGGUGAGAAUCCCUUCCACCGAAUAUCUAAGGUUU